Molecule: ribosomal RNA, 153 nt
Filed under: Glossostigma cleistanthum
Lineage: Eukaryota; Viridiplantae; Streptophyta; Magnoliopsida; Lamiales; Phrymaceae
Description: 5.8S ribosomal RNA
Rfam family: 5.8S ribosomal RNA
About the family: 5.8S ribosomal RNA (5.8S rRNA) is a component of the large subunit of the eukaryotic ribosome. It is transcribed by RNA polymerase I as part of the 45S precursor that also contains 18S and 28S rRNA. Functionally, it is thought that 5.8S rRNA may be involved in ribosome translocation.
Source: RNAcentral
ACUCUCGGCAACGGAUAUCUCGGCUCUCGCAUCGAUGAAGAACGUAGCGAAAUGCGAUACUUGGUGUGAAUUGCAGAAUCCCGUGAACCAUCGAGUCUUUGAACGCAAGUUGCGCCCGAAGCCUUUAGGCCAAGGGCACGUCUGCCUGGGCGU